This 499-nucleotide ribosomal RNA is filed under the name Alcaligenes sp. Cm1. RNAcentral describes it as "bacterial SSU rRNA". It matches the Rfam family "Bacterial small subunit ribosomal RNA", at positions 30 to 523 of the family's 1533-position model. Lineage: Bacteria; Pseudomonadati; Pseudomonadota; Betaproteobacteria; Burkholderiales; Alcaligenaceae. The record is from RNAcentral.
UUGAACGCUAGCGGGAUGCCUUACACAUGCAAGUCGAACGGCAGCACGGACUUCGGUCUGGUGGCGAGUGGCGAACGGGUGAGUAAUGUAUCGGAACGUGCCUAGUAGCGGGGGAUAACUACGCGAAAGCGUAGCUAAUACCGCAUACGCCCUACGGGGGAAAGCAGGGGAUCGCAAGACCUUGCACUAUUAGAGCGGCCGAUAUCGGAUUAGCUAGUUGGUGGGGUAANGGCUCACCAAGGCGACGAUCCGUAGCUGGUUUGAGAGGACGACCAGCCACACUGGGACUGAGACACGGCCCAGACUCCUACGGGAGGCAGCAGUGGGGAAUUUUGGACAAUGGGGGAAACCCUGAUCCAGCCAUCCCGCGUGUGCGAUGAAGGCCUUCGGGUUGUAAAGCACUUUUGGCAGGAAAGAAACGUCAUGGGCUAAUACCCCGUGAAACUGACGGUACCUGCAGAAUAAGCACCGGCUAACUACGUGCCAGCMGCCGCGGUAU